GCCUGGGUGGCUCAGUCGGUUGAGCGUCUGACUUAGGCUCAGGUCAUGAUCUCAGAGCUCGUGAGUUCGAGCCCCGCCUCUGGCU
Molecule: transfer RNA, 85 nt
Filed under: Felis catus (domestic cat)
Lineage: Eukaryota; Metazoa; Chordata; Mammalia; Carnivora; Felidae
Rfam family: tRNA
About the family: Transfer RNA (tRNA) molecules are approximately 80 nucleotides in length. Their secondary structure includes four short double-helical elements and three loops (D, anti-codon, and T loops).
Source: Rfam by way of RNAcentral